ACGUAGGGACCAAGCGUUGUUCGGAUUUACUGGGCGUAAAGGGCGCGUAGGCGGCUUGACAAGUCACUUGUGAAAUCUCCGGGCUUAACUCGGAACGGCCAAGUGAAACUGUCAUGCUAGAGUGCAGAAGGGGCAAUCGGAAUUCUUGGUGUAGCGGUGAAAUGCGUAGAUAUCAAGAGGAACACCUGAGGUGAAGACGGGUUGCUGGGCUGACACUGACGCUGAGGCGCGAAAGCCAGGGGAGCAAACGGGAUUAGAUACCCCGGUAGUCCUGGCCCUAAACGAUGAAUACUUGGUGUCUGGAGUUAUUAUUGCUCUGGGUGCCGUCGCUAACGUUUUAAGUAUUCCGCCUGGGGAGUACGCACGCAAGUGUG
RNAcentral lists this ribosomal RNA (374 nucleotides) under uncultured bacterium. RNAcentral describes it as "bacterial SSU rRNA". It matches the Rfam family "Bacterial small subunit ribosomal RNA", at positions 525 to 896 of the family's 1533-position model. The record is from RNAcentral.